AUAAUUCAAAAACUAUAAAACAGAAAGCAAAAAGGUCAGUUGAAAAGUUGCUUAGAUUUCGCCAUGGGAUUUUUUCAGCUGCAGACUGAAGUCGGGGGGCUAUGGUAAGAUAUUGGAUUCUAGACGGUCCAAUUAAACUGCAAGCUCCGCCCAUGUCUAAUCUACCAAUCACAUUGCAGGUUGAGCUCCAUUUACACCACUGGUAUUUACAUAGUCAGGUGAGUUUCCCACGAGAGCUGCACUGCUGCCUCCCCCUGUGCACCUGCAGGUCCUGCUACUUGUGGGGCUCCCAGAGAGUAGAUAAUUAUUAUAUCUGGCUCCAUGCUCGGCUUCUACAUAUACGGAAUUGCCUCUUCAUAUUUUGGGUCUUCAAAUUUUGGGACUCCUUGGAAUAACAUGUUGGACAUACAAGAUCAUACACACAAGUUUUUUGUUUAAUCAGUGGCUCACUAAUAUGUGAUUACCUCCCAUGUCCUUGCUUUAUAGAUUACUAUAGGUUACUAUAGAUCCCUGUGUAUAUGCCAUGGGUUCAUUAGACAUUAGAGAAGUGCCCAGUGGGACACAUUAAGUAACUGACAUAGGGAGUCCCACUUCCGCACUUUUUCGGCAUAGAUUAGGCUUUAAUCUCUUUAUAUGAUCAUUUGUGAUGUUGUAGGACGAAGGGCAGGCAUUGCGCAUGCGCCGAAUCUGGAUAAAACGCUAGUGCGUUCCACUGGCUAAUAGAAACAAUGGUUCAUGCUUUGCGCAUGCUCCAAAUGUGAAUGGAACGCAAGUGCGUUCCACUGAGGAAUAUAGACGCAUACUUCCUGUCAUCAGCCUACGCUAAGCGGAAAUGACGUCACAUGCCGAAAAACAUGUGGUUUUGGGACAGCUAUGAGUUUCAAAAAGGUAUUUAAACUGUCAACUGCUUACAAUCGUUCUGCUUUUUAAUACUUUUUAGUAAUUGUAUAAUAUUUGGCCCCUGAUGAAAACCACUCAUGUGGUCGAAACGCGUAGGGCGACCUGCUAUUAUCCAUUUAAGGAAGAAGGCGCUUCCCCCAGGAGAGAAGGGAGCAGUUUUCAAUGGCCGCCCCCCUCCCAUGAGCAGAACUGAUCCCCCAUCCCCCGCUGCUCCCCCCCCAUCAACUUCAUUGUCUCUUCAGACUCCGCCUCCAGUAGGAAACGCAGUCGCU
Xenopus laevis (African clawed frog) is the source of this 1172-nucleotide long non-coding RNA. RefSeq lists it as uncharacterized. The transcript has 4 exons. Lineage: Eukaryota; Metazoa; Chordata; Amphibia; Anura; Pipidae. The record is from RefSeq and is a predicted model, not a curated record.